CGAAGCGUGCUGUUGGAGUGCACGUCCAAGCAGUGAGAUUGAGUGUUAGGCAAAUCCGGCACUCUUAAGAUUGAGCUGUGAUGGGGAGAGGAACUUGUUCCUCGAGUCGUUGAUUUCACACUGCCGAGAAAAGCCUCUAGCUAGAAUAACGGUGCCCGUACCGCAAACCGACACAGGUAGUCAAGAUGAGAAUUCUAAGGUGAGCGAGCGAACUCUCGUUAAGGAACUCGGCAAAAUGACCCCGUAACUUCGGGAGAAGGGGUGCUCUUUGAGGUUCACGCUUCGAAGAGCCGCAGUGAAUAGGCCCAAGCGACUGUUUAUCAAAAACACAGGUCUCUGCUAAACCGUAAGGUGACGUAUAGGGGCUGACGCCUGCCCGGUGCUGGAAGGUUAAGAGGAGUGGUUAGCGCAAGCGAAGCUACGAAUCGAAGCCCCAGUAAACGGCGGCCGUAACUAUAACGGUCCUAAGGUAGCGAAAUUCCUUGUCGGGUAAGUUCCGACCCGCACGAAAGGCGUAACGAUUUGGGCACUGUCUCAACGAGAGACUCGGUGAAAUCAUAGUACCGGUGAAGAUGCCGGUUACCCGCGACAGGACGGAAAGACCCCGUGGAGCUUUACUGUAGCCUGAUAUUGAAAUUCGGUACAGUUUGUACAGGAUAGGUAGGAGCCUUAGAAGCGUGAGCGCUAGCUUACGUGGAGGCAUUGGUGGGAUACUACCCUAAUUGUAUUGGAUUUCUAACCCGCAGCACUUAUCGUGCUGGGAGACAGUGUCAGGCGGGCAGUUUGACUGGGGCGGUCGCCUCCUAAAGAGUAACGGAGGCGCUCAAAGGUUCCCUCAGAAUGGUUGGAAAUCAUUCAUAGAGUGUAAAGGCAUAAGGGAGCUUGACUGCGAGACCUACAAGUCGAGCAGGGUCGAAAGACGGACUUAGUGAUCCGGUGGUUCCGCAUGGAAGGGCCAUCGCUCAACGGAUAAAAGCUACCCCGGGGAUAACAGGCUUAUCUCCCCCAAGAGUUCACAUCGACGGGGAGGUUUGGCACCUCGAUGUCGGCUCAUCGCAUCCUGGGGCUGUAGUCGGUCCCAAGGGUUGGGCUGUUCGCCCAUUAAAGCGGUACGCGAGCUGGGUUCAGAACGUCGUGAGACAGUUCGGUCCCUAUCCGUCGUGGGCGUAGGAAAUUUGAGAGGAGCUGUCCUUAGUACGAGAGGACCGGGAUGGACAUACCUCUGGUGUACCAGUUGUCGUGCCAACGGCAUAGCUGGGUAGCUAUGUAUGGACGGGAUAAGUGCUGAAAGCAUCUAAGCAUGAAGCCCCCCUCGAGAUGAGAUUUCCCAACUUCGGUUAUAAG
Molecule: ribosomal RNA, 1344 nt
Filed under: Staphylococcus pseudintermedius
Lineage: Bacteria; Bacillati; Bacillota; Bacilli; Caryophanales; Staphylococcaceae
Description: partial 23S ribosomal RNA
Rfam family: Bacterial large subunit ribosomal RNA
Source: RNAcentral